GAAUUUGCUUAAAUCAUAUUGAGCGUGUAUUUUUAAGUGCGUAUUUGAAAAAAAAACCUUGAGAAAAAAUUAAAAAAAAGGAAAUAUAAUUAUGGCUAUGAUGUGGAUUAAACAAUUUAUUGACUGUACACCAUUUUCAAAACGAAAUUUGCACAAAAAACUUUAUUCCGGACGAAAACACUUCCGGACGAAAACACUUUAUUCCGGACGAAAACCCUGCCGGUAACUGUCCGGUAACAAAACAGAAAAUUAUUCCAGUAAUCAACAGGGUUAACCAGUAACCCAGUGGCAGUAGAAAAAGCAGCGGUUUUGAUAUGCCAUAUAAUAUAAUAUGAAAUAUGAAACUACUAACUGACUUAAAAAUAAAAUAAAUCUCAC
Long non-coding RNA from Armigeres subalbatus, 378 nucleotides. RefSeq lists it as uncharacterized. The transcript is spliced from 3 exons. Lineage: Eukaryota; Metazoa; Arthropoda; Insecta; Diptera; Culicidae. The record is from RefSeq and is a predicted model, not a curated record.